GGGGGGGGGGGGGGGGGGGGGGGGGGGGGGGGGGGGGGGGGGGGGGGCGGGGGGGGUGGGGCGGGGGGGUUAGCGGCGGGAGGGUGGGUGGCGGGUGGGGACCCGACCUGGGGGGCGGGGGUACCUGGGAGAAGCCGGCGCUCAUAGCGUGGACUUGAUUUAACCGCCUGGAUCACGAGCGAGUCACAGGUGUGCUGUAGCAUGUAGAGUGUACAGCGCCGCAUUAGCUAGUUGGUAAGGUACCGUAUUACCAAGCCAACGAUGCGUAGCCUACCUGAGAGGGUGAUCGGCAACCCUGGAAUGGAGACACGGUCCAGACUCCUACGAGAGGCAGCAGUAGGGAAUCUUCAGCAAUGGGCGAAAGCCUGACGGAGCAACGCCGCGUGAGUGAUGAAGGUCUUCGGAUCGUAAAACUCUGUUAUUAGGGAAGAACAAAUGUGUAAGUAACUAUGCACGUCUUGACGGUACCUAAUCAGAAAGCCAGGGCUAACUCCGUG
RNAcentral lists this ribosomal RNA (497 nucleotides) under uncultured bacterium. RNAcentral describes it as "partial 16S ribosomal RNA". It matches the Rfam family "Bacterial small subunit ribosomal RNA", at positions 38 to 507 of the family's 1533-position model. The record is from RNAcentral.